GACGAACGCUGGCGGCGUGCUUAACACAUGCAAGUCGAACGGAAAGGCCCCUUCGGGGGUCCUCGAGUGGCGCACAGGUUAGUAACACGUGAGUAACCUGCCCUUGACUUCGGGAUAACUUCCGUAAACUGGGGCUACUACCGGCUAGGAAUCCUUGCUGCAUGGUUGGGGUUGGAAAGCUUCGGCGGUUUUGGAUGGACUCGCGGCUUAUCAGCUUGUUGGUGGGGUAGUGGCUUACCAAGGCUUUGACGGGUAGCCGGCCUGAGAGGGCGACCGGCCACAGUGGGACUGAGAGACGGCACAGACGACGACGGGAGGCAGAAGGGGGGAAGAGUGCACAAGGGGCGGAAGCCGGAUGCAGCAACGCCGCGGGCGGGAGGACGGCCUGCGGGUUGUAAACCGCGUUCAGCAGGGGCGAAGCUUGUGGUGACGGUACCUGCAGAAGAAGCACCGGCUAACUACGUG
This 465-nucleotide ribosomal RNA is filed under the name uncultured bacterium. RNAcentral's name for it is "partial 16S ribosomal RNA". It matches the Rfam family "Bacterial small subunit ribosomal RNA", at positions 28 to 507 of the family's 1533-position model. The record is from RNAcentral.